This 1334-nucleotide ribosomal RNA is filed under the name uncultured bacterium. RNAcentral describes it as "bacterial SSU rRNA". It matches the Rfam family "Bacterial small subunit ribosomal RNA". The record is from RNAcentral.
GAGUUUGAUCCUGGCUCAGAAUCAACGCUGGCGGCGUGCCUAACACAUGCAAGUCGAACGCGAAAGUGGAGCAAUCCAUGAGUAGAGUGGCAAACGGGUGAGUAACACGUGACUAACCUGCCUUCGAGUGGGGGAUAACCUCGGGAAACCGGGGCUAAUACCGCAUAAUGCCUUCGGGUUAAAGGAGCAAUUCGCUUGAAGAGGGGGUCGCGGCUGAUUAGCUAGUUGGCGGGGUAACGGCCCACCAAGGCGAUGAUCGGUAGCCGGCCUGAGAGGGCGCACGGCCACACUGGAACUGAAACACGGUCCAGACUCCUACGGGAGGCAGCAGUGGGGAAUUUUGCGCAAUGGGGGAAACCCUGACGCAGCAACGCCGCGUGGAGGAUGAAGUCCCUUGGGACGUAAACUCCUUUCGACCGGGACGAUUAUGACGGUACCGGUGGAAGAAGCCCCGGCUAACUACGUGCCAGCAGCCGCGGUAAUACGUAGGGGGCAAGCGUUGUCCGGAUUUAUUGGGCGUAAAGAGCGUGUAGGCGGCCAGACAGGUCCGUUGUGAAAACUCGAGGCUCAACCUCGAGACGCCGAUGGAAACCGUUUGGCUAGAGUCCGGAAGAGGAGAGUGGAAUUCCUGGUGUAGCGGUGAAAUGCGCAGAUAUCAGGAAGAACACCCGUGGCUAAGGCGGCUCUCUAGUACGGUACUGACGCUGAGACGCGAAAGCGUGGGGAGCGAACAGGAUUAGAUACCCUGGUAGUCCACGCCGUAAACGAUGGGCACUAGGUGCUUGGGGGAGCGACCCUCCGAGUGCCGGCGCUAACGCAUUAAGUGCCCCGCCUGGGGAGUACGGCCGCAAGGCUGAAACUCAAAGGAAUUGACGGGGGCCCGCACAAGCAGCGGAGCGUGGGGUUUAAUUCGAUGCAACGCGAAGAACCUUACCAAGGCUUGACAUGACCAGGGAUCCGGCGGAAACGUCGGCGCCCCGCAAGGGGCCUGGCCACAGGUGUUGCAUGGCUGUCGUCAGCUCGUGUCGUGAGAUGUUGGGUUAAGUCCCGCAACGAGCGCAACCCCUACUGUGUGUUGUAUCACUCACACGGGACUGCCGAGAGAAACUCGGAGGAAGGCGGGGAUGACGUCAAGUCAGCAUGGCCCUUACGUCUUGGGCUACACCCACGCUACAAUGGCCGGUACAACGGGCUGCGAAACCGCGAGGUGGAGCCAAUCCCUAAAGCCGGUCUCAGUUCGGAUCGUAGGCUGCAACUCGUCUACGUGAAGCCGGAGUUGCUAGUAACCACCGGUCAGCAUACGGUGGUGAUAUGUUCCCGGGCCUUGUACACAC